CUACGGGGCGCUGCAGUGGGGAAUAUUGCGCAAUGGGCGAAAGCCUGACGCAGCAACGCCGCGUGAGUGAUGAAGGUCUUCGGAUUGUAAAGCUCUGUCAGAAGGAACGAAACAUCAGCGAGAACAAUACCUCGUUGACUUGACGGUACCUUCAAAGGAAGCACCGGCUAACUCCGUGCCAGCAGCCGCGGUAAUACGGAGGGUGCUAGCGUUGUUCGGAAUUACUGGGCGUAAAGCGCGUGUAGGCGGAUAAAGAAGUUGGGUGUGAAAGCCCUCGGCUUAACCGAGGAAGUGCGCUCAAAACCAGUUAUCUUGAGUUCCGGAGGGGAUCGGGGAAUUCCGAGUGUAGAGGUGAAAUUCGUAGAUAUUCGGAGGAACACCGGUGGCGAAAGCGCCGAUCUGGACGGAUACUGACGCUAAGACGCGAAAGCGUGGGUAGCAAACAGGAUUAGAUACCCGCGUAGUC
This 466-nucleotide ribosomal RNA is filed under the name uncultured bacterium. RNAcentral describes it as "partial 16S ribosomal RNA". It matches the Rfam family "Bacterial small subunit ribosomal RNA", at positions 339 to 795 of the family's 1533-position model. The record is from RNAcentral.